Non-coding RNA from Pelodiscus sinensis (Chinese soft-shelled turtle), 626 nucleotides. NCBI's taxonomy places the organism in Eukaryota, Metazoa, Chordata, Testudines, Trionychidae. The record is from RefSeq and is a predicted model, not a curated record.
UUGAGUGUGACAGUUGGUAGAUGAUGUCACCAUCCCAUUACCAGACUAAGGUAGAUUCUUAUAUUAUGAAAAGAAAUCCCUUCACCUUCUGCACUCAGGAUCAGCUACACAUCCCUCUGCAUUUGUGCCUGUUUGCUACAUAUCAUCACAUAUGGCCUCAAUCUGCUACCCACAGUCACUGGAUAGCCUCAUUUCAGUGACUUUCAGGUAGUACAGUGAGUAGUAUUCACUAAAAGGUGCCACGUUGGCAGUCCUGAAAAAUGAAGUUCUGCAUGUAUUCACAGAACAGGAAAAUGUUGUCUUCCAGAAGCGCGUAAAAGACAGAGAAAACCAUAUGUACUACUGCUAUCAACAUUGCUUAAGCUGAUGUAGCUGAACCAGUGAAGGAAGAACUUCUACUUUUACAAGGAGGUCACAUUACUAAGACACGCUGUUAACUUAAAGAAGAUGCUUUCAAUGUGGAAAAAGAGGUCCAAAUGCAAUGGAAAUGAACCAAACCUGAUGGCCUUCUAUAGAGGACACUGCAUCCAUAUUUUUCACAUAAUGUAGUUAAGAUAUUACAGAUCUGAGUAUUUAUCAACAUUACUGCAGUGUCUCAGAGGGGUAGCCGUGUUAGUCUGUAGCUG